Molecule: long non-coding RNA, 777 nt
Filed under: Citrus sinensis (sweet orange)
Lineage: Eukaryota; Viridiplantae; Streptophyta; Magnoliopsida; Sapindales; Rutaceae
Description: long non-coding RNA (CSIN_LNC005144)
Source: RNAcentral
AGGGACCAUUAAAACUUCAAGUGAUCCUUUGCACAUUCAUGGAGGCCCAAUUACAAGAGCAAGAGCCAAAAAUAUGCAAGCUACUUUAAAUGGAUUAAUUGAGAAAAUAUGGAUUGAAAAUGCAAUUCAAGAUGCAAGACAUCAUGAAUUGGGCUUGAAGAGAAGACAAGGCAUUGUGGGCAUUAUUCAAGUCAUUGGGCAGCCAAAUACACAAGUUGUAUCAAGAAAUAUAAUUAAGUUAGCUUUCCAAUAAAUUUUACAGAGCUGGAUUUGGAGUUCUCUAGAAGGAGUUAUGACCAAUUCUUUACAGCUUGGUCAGACUUGGGAUUUUCAACGAAUCCUUUGUUUUUCAACUUAUUUGUUUGUUUUGUUUCAAGCUUGUCAAUGUGUAAGGUAAGUCUACCAUCAAUGAUGGUGGGCUAACAUUAAGUUUGUCAAUGAUAGCAUUAAUUAUAGUAGGCUAGCAUUAAGUUUGUCAAAGAUAGCAUUGAUUAUGGUGGGUUGGUGAAGACUUUUGAAACAUCUUUUGACAAACCUACUUGGAGGGUUGUUCCAAUGUUUCCAUUUGGAUUUUUAGGAUCUUGGGUUUCUUUUAGCCUAUUUAAAUUCAGCAACCUUGGUAUGUAAGAAAAUUAGAGAUGAAUGUUAUUUGAAUUUGAAAGAUCAUUCUUUCUUUGGUUCUUUUGAGAACUAGUGAACUUAUCAAGAAUUUGCAUUCUUGUGGCGUUCCAAAUUUAGACUUAUCACUCACCUUCUCAUCUAUUUCUUGAGUGUGGC